RNAcentral lists this ribosomal RNA (258 nucleotides) under uncultured bacterium. Its description in RNAcentral is "partial 16S ribosomal RNA". It matches the Rfam family "Bacterial small subunit ribosomal RNA", at positions 793 to 1055 of the family's 1533-position model. The record is from RNAcentral.
GUCCACGCUGUAAACGAUGAAUACUAGGUGUUGGGUUUUAAACUCAGUGCCGCAGCUAACGCAUUAAGUAUUCCACCUGGGAAGUACGAUCGCAAGGUUGAAACUCAAAGGAAUUGACGGGGGCCCGCACAAGCAGUGGAGCAUGUGGUUUAAUUCGAUGCAACGCGAAGAACCUUACCUAGGCUUGAAAGGCAAGUGACAGGGUAUGAAAGUACCCCUCCAGCAAUGGCACUUGUACAGGUGCUGCAUGGCUGUCGU